This 798-nucleotide ribosomal RNA is filed under the name uncultured bacterium. Its description in RNAcentral is "bacterial SSU rRNA". It matches the Rfam family "Bacterial small subunit ribosomal RNA", at positions 8 to 796 of the family's 1533-position model. The record is from RNAcentral.
AGAGUUUGAUCCUGGCUCAGGACGAACGCUGGCGGCGUGCUUAACACAUGCAAGUCGAGCGGAAAGGCCCCUUCGGGGGUACUCGAGCGGCGAACGGGUGAGUAACACGUGGGUAAUCUGCCAAGACACAGGAAUAACCAGUGGAAACGCUGGCUAAUGCCUGAUGACGUGCCGGCCUUUCGGGGCUUGUACCAAAGGUAGCUUCGGCCUCCGGUCUUGGAUGAGCCCGCGUCCCAUUAGCUUGUUGGUGAGGUAACGGCUCACCAAGGCGACGAUGGGUAGCUGGUCUGAGAGGACGAUCAGCCACACUGGGACUGAGACACGGCCCAGACUCCUACGGGAGGCAGCAGUGGGGAAUCUUGCGCAAUGGGCGAAAGCCUGACGCAGCAACGCCGCGUGCGGGAAGAAGGUCUUAGGGUUGUAAACCGCUUUCAGCAGGGACGAAGGCAAUCGGGUUAAUAGCCCGUGAGUUGACGGUACCUGCAGAAGAAGGUCCGGCUAACUACGUGCCAGCAGCCGCGGUAAUACGUAGGGACCAAGCGUUGUCCGGAAUCAUUGGGCGUAAAGAGCGUGUAGGCGGCUUGUUAAGUCUUGUGUGAAAUCUCGGGGCUCAACCCCGAGCGGUCAUGAGAAACUGGCAGGCUAGAGUGCGGGAGAGGAGAGUGGAAUUCCUGGUGUAGCGGUGAAAUGCGCAGAUAUCAGGAAGAACACCCGUGGCGAAGGCGGCUCUCUGGAACGCAACUGACGCUGAGACGCGAAAGCGUGGGGAGCAAACAGGAUUAGAUACCCCGGUAGUCC